CAACCCUUAAGCCUUGCUUAGUAUUGGGAGACUGCCUAAACCGCAGCUCCUUAAAGUCAGUGGCAGAGUCUAGGUGUGCUCUGAGCGUAGUAAUUUAUUAUCUCGCUUCUGUAAGCCGCCUAUGGCAAUAGCCAUAAGCCUUUUAUUACCGAAAUG
Molecule: unclassified non-coding RNA, 156 nt
Filed under: uncultured Microdochium
Lineage: Eukaryota; Fungi; Ascomycota; Sordariomycetes; Xylariales
Description: sequence contains ITS2
Source: RNAcentral